Molecule: unclassified non-coding RNA, 229 nt
Filed under: Hevea brasiliensis (rubber tree)
Lineage: Eukaryota; Viridiplantae; Streptophyta; Magnoliopsida; Malpighiales; Euphorbiaceae
Source: RNAcentral
CAGGGACAAAGACUCAGAACAGAGUAUUGUGUUUUCUUAUCCUCAAAUAUUAAUAGUUGAAUUUUACCAAGAUUUCCCUGUUCUCUCAGAGAGGAGAAGCUGAAUUUUUCUGAGACAGUGCAGUGGCAGAGAACGUAGCAUAGAAGCAGAGGAGACAAGAGACAGGAGGCAGAGGUGGACGUAAAUUCAGAGUUACUGCAACGAAUCCCUGCUUCUGUCAAAGUGGUCG